GACGAACGCUGGCGGCGUGCUUAACACAUGCAAGUCGAACGGAAAGGCCCUGCUUUUGUGGGGUGCUCGAGUGGCGAAAGGGUGAGUAACACGUGAGUAACCUGCCCUUGACUUUGGGAUAACUUCAGGAAACUGGGGCUCAUACCGGAUAGGAGCUCCUGCUGCAUGGUGGGGGUUGGAAAGUUUCGGCGGUUGGGGAUGGACUCGCGGCUUAUCAGCUUGUUGGUGGGGUAGUGGCUUACCAAGGCUUUGACGGGUAGCCGGCCUGGGAGGGUGACCGGCCACAGUGGGACUGAGAUACGGCCCAGACUCCUACGGGAGGCAGCAGUGGGGAAUAUUGCACAAUGGGCGGAAGCCGGAUGCAGCAACGCCGCGUGCGGGAUGACGGCCGUCGGGUUGUAAACCGCUUGCGCCUGUGACGAAGCGUGAGUGACGGUAAUGGGUAAAGAAGCACCGGCUAACUACGUG
This 468-nucleotide ribosomal RNA is filed under the name uncultured bacterium. RNAcentral's name for it is "partial 16S ribosomal RNA". It matches the Rfam family "Bacterial small subunit ribosomal RNA", at positions 28 to 507 of the family's 1533-position model. The record is from RNAcentral.